Molecule: ribosomal RNA, 253 nt
Filed under: uncultured bacterium
Lineage: Bacteria
Description: partial 16S ribosomal RNA
Rfam family: Bacterial small subunit ribosomal RNA
Source: RNAcentral
UACGUAGGGUGCAAGCGUUGUCCGGAAUUAUUGGGCGUAAAGAGCUCGUAGGCGGUCUGUCGCGUCGGAUGUGAAAACCCUGGGCUCAACCCUGGGCCUGCAUUCGAUACGGGCAGACUAGAGUUCGGUAGGGGAGACUGGAAUUCCUGGUGUAGCGGUGAAAUGCGCAGAUAUCAGGAGGAACACCGGUGGCGAAGGCGGGUCUCUGGGCCGAAACUGACGCUGAGGAGCGAAAGCGUGGGGAGCAAACAGG